RNAcentral lists this ribosomal RNA (468 nucleotides) under uncultured bacterium. RNAcentral describes it as "partial 16S ribosomal RNA". It matches the Rfam family "Bacterial small subunit ribosomal RNA", at positions 28 to 507 of the family's 1533-position model. The record is from RNAcentral.
GACGAACGCUGGCGGCGUGCUUAACACAUGCAAGUCGAACGGAAAGGCCCGGCGCUUGUGGGGUGCUCGAGUGGCGAACGGGUGAGUAACACGUGAGGGAACUGCACUUGACUGUGUGAUAACUUCAGGAAAAUGGGGCGAAUACGGGAGAGGAGAUCCAGCUGCAUGUGGUGGGUUGGAAAGAGUCGGCGGUACGGGAUGGAAUCGCGGGUCAUCAGCUUGAUUGUGGGGUAGUGGCGUACCAAGGCUUUGACGGGUAGGCGACCUGAGAGGGUGACCGGCGACAUUGGGCCUACGAUACGGCCCAGACUGCUACGGGCCGCAGUAGUGGAGAAUAUUGCGCAAUGGCCGGAAGUCUGAUGUAGAAACGCUGCGUGCGGGAUGACGGCCUUCGGGUUGUAAACCGCUUUCGCCUUUGCCGAAGCGUGCGUGACGGUACUGGGUCAAGAAGCACCGGCUAACUACGUG